Molecule: ribosomal RNA, 208 nt
Filed under: uncultured bacterium
Lineage: Bacteria
Description: partial 16S ribosomal RNA
Rfam family: Bacterial small subunit ribosomal RNA
Source: RNAcentral
GGAUUGCAGGCUGCAACUCGCCUGUAUGAAGUCGGAAUUGCUAGUAAUCGCGGAUCAGCAUGCCGCGGUGAAUACGUUCCCGGGCCUUGUACACACCGCCCGUCACACCACGAGAGUUUGUAACACCCGAAGCCGGUGGAGUAACCAUUUAUGGAGCUAGCCGUCGAAGGUGGGACAAAUGAUUGGGGUGAAGUCGUAACAAGGUAUC